RNA transcript from Sesamum indicum (sesame), 3804 nucleotides. It is a transcript of the gene named protein NLP2, with no coding region annotated. The record is from RefSeq and is a predicted model, not a curated record. Lineage: Eukaryota; Viridiplantae; Streptophyta; Magnoliopsida; Lamiales; Pedaliaceae.
CUUUUUGUUUUUGGGAGAGUGGGGUCCGGUUAGCAUAAGAGAGAGAUUCUUGUUCUUCCCCUUCCCCACUUUCUUUCCCAUCCCAUCACAUCCCAUGUUGUACUCAAACAAACAAUAUUGUCUAUUUGAUGGAUUUUAUGCGGAGGGAGAGAGAGAGAGAGAGAGAGUCAACAAGUUUGUAAGUUAAUUUGAGGCAACAACAGCCUUGCCUUUGCUUUUCCAGUUUCACACAACACAAGAAAUGGUUUUGUUGCUCAUCAGAAUUUGGUUCUGGUUGAUGGGAUUCUUAGAUUAAUGAGAGUUACAAAGAAAUUAUUGUCAACGACCAUGUUUGUGGCGCUGGGAGUGAUUGGGGACAAAAAUCCUUCCUGGAAGUUCCUCUUCUUGUUUUUCAUAUUCAGGCUGCUUCUUUGUUUUGGUUCAUGAUCCACUAAUUGCGUUUUUGGAUUUAUAGAAUGGGUGAUUGACAAAUAUCCACCAUGGAAGAUGGCUCCUUCACACCUAAUAUCAUGUCGCCAACCUUUUCACACUCCAACUUUGAUUUCAAUCUCAUGGAUGAACUCUUGUAUGGUGGAUUCUGGUUAGAGACUACCGACCUAUCCAACUUCUGGCACCCUGCAGCUUCAACUCCAUUAACCCAUUUCAAUUCCACCUCAUUUUCAGAGACUAACAUUCACACCUUAAAUACUGAUCCACCUCAUCACAGUUUCUUAAAAGAAUCAGCAAUAUCAAACUUUUUUGACGUCCCAAAUUUGAGCUACCUAGGAAUGGAUGAAUUUUCUGAAACGCAAUCACAUAUCCAUGAAGCUACCACCCCUCCAGCUUCCUUGAACCAAUCUGCAAAUUUUCUUGUCGAGGAAACCCAUGUUAACACCAGGUUGUGGGUUGGACCAAACAGAAACCCAAUUCGUACUCUGUCUGUGAAGAAGAGAUUAGUGCAGGCUAUCAGCUGCCUCAAAGACUCUAUCAGUGAUAAAGAUGUCCUUAUUCAGAUCUGGAUCCCUGUAAAGAGAGGAGGUAGGCAAGUCCUCACAACUAACAACCAACCAUUUUCGCUGAAUGCAAACUGCAAGAAUCUUGCAGACUACAGAGAUGUCUCCCGCAAUUAUCAGUUUGCAGCAGAUGAGGACUCUAAGGAUUUCAUUGGGUUGCCUGGCCGUGUAUUCUUGAACAAGUUGCCUGAAUGGACUCCAGAUGUUCGGUUUUUCAAAAGAGAGGAGUAUCCCCGUGUUAACGACGCCCAACAGCACAACGUUAGAGGAUCACUUGCACUUCCAGUUUUCGAACAGGGCAGUGGUAUUUGCUUGGGGGUGGUUGAGAUUGUGACAACUAGUCAGAAAGUCAAUUAUCGCCCUGAACUUGAAAACAUCUGCAAAGCUUUAGAGGCUGUUGAUUUAAAAAGUUCCAACAUUCUGAGUCCUUCCAAUAUAGAGAACCGUGAAGAAUCUUACCAAGGUGCUCUAACCGAGAUAAAUAAUGUCUUGAAAUUUGUCUGCAACACACACAAAUUGCCCUUGGCUCAGACAUGGGCUUCAUGUGUUCAGCAAAAUAAAGGGGGUUGCCGGCACUCUGUAGAGAAUUAUGCACGAUGUGUUUCAACAAUUGACUCAGCCUGCUAUGUGGCUGAUCCACAAGUUUCUGGCUUCCAUGAGGCAUGCUCUGAACACCACUUGCUCAAAGGUGAAGGUGUUGCUGGGAAAGCAUUCCUUACAAAUCAACCAUGUUUUGCUGAGGACAUUACUGCAUUUAGCAAAACAGAGUAUCCUCUUGCACAUCAUGCGAGGGUGUUCCACUUGUGUGCUUCUGCAGCAAUACGCCUGAGAAGUACGUACAACAGAACAGCUGAUUUUGUUUUAGAGUUCUUCUUGCCCCUAAAUUGCAAAGAUACCCAACAUCAGAUGCGGAUGCUUAACCUAUUAUCAUCUGUUAUACAACAAACAUGCCAGAGUUUACAAGUAAUAACUGAUCAGGAGUUGGCUCAAGAAACUUUAGGCAGAGAAAGAAGCAACACUUCAGCUGGGAGAUUAGAUGAUGAAAAAAAGCAUCCAAAGCUGGUAAUAUCUCCUUCCAAACAAGACUUGCUCGAUGGUUCACCUUGGAUUGCUGCGAGCCGGGUGGAUUCCCAACAGAAGGGCAAAGGAAUUGCUGUUUCUUUUUCUAAUCGCAUGGAGGAACCAGAACGAGAGUUUAAGUUGACUACCCAAUGGGAUAACUCUGGCUCAGACUUUCAGAAUGUGCCAGCAGUUUUAGAGCAUGACGAACUCCAGCGGGAUUCUGGACCCCGAAGAAGCGGGGAGGGUGGUGGAAGCUUUUCUUUGACAAUUGGGCAUCUUCCGUUAGGUGCUCAAACAAGCAGCGAAAGGAGACGGACAAAGACUGAGAAGAGUAUUAGCUUGCAAGUACUUAGACAGUAUUUUGCUGGGAGCCUAAAAGAAGCUGCUCGGAGUAUUGGAGUGUGUCCAACUACCUUGAAAAGAAUAUGCAGACAGCAUGGAAUCACUCGCUGGCCAUCUAGAAAGAUCAAGAAAGUUGGUCACUCAUUGAGGAAACUACAACUUGUGAUUGAUUCUGUCCAUGGUACAGACGGUUCUAUUCAACUCAGUUCUUUCUAUAAUAACUUUCCAGAACUUGUGCCUCCAAAUGUACCAGGAAGCAGCCACUUUUCGACGUCAACGAUGAGUGGUAAUUUGCAGCAGGUGACCAGUCAGCCUGACGGCACCUUGUUAAGUCCUGCAACCACUGCCUCAAAAUCACCUUCAUCUUCUGGUAGUCAUAGCUCCAGUUCAAGUUAUUUUUGUUCUACUGGGGUGAAGCAAUCAUCUAACCCUGUCAAGGUCUCCAGCCUUGGAGAUGCUCUAUCAGCAGAAGAGACUAGAGGGAUGCUGAAAAGAACACGGAGUGAAGCAAAAUUGCAUGAAAAGGGCCAAGAGGAAGCAAAGCCUUUGAUUCGAUCAUAUAGCUAUAAGAUUUUCAGUGAUCACACCGCUAUUGCGGCUCCAGCUGUGCCAAAUGAUAUCAAUCAGGCACAUCAUGUGGGUACUUUUAGAGUAAAAGCAGUUUUUGGGGAAGAAAAGAUCCGAUUCAGUCUGCAGCCACACUGGGGUUUUAAAGAUUUAAAGCAAGAGGUCUUGAGGCGUAUUAACAUAGAUAAUGGCGGUAGCAUUAACUUAAAAUAUCUCGACGAUGAUGCUGAGUGGGUGCUUUUGACUUGUGAUGCUGAUCUUGAAGAAUGUAUUGAUCUACACAGAUCAUCCCAGAGUCGAACAAUCAAACUAUCCGUCAAUCAAGCCUGUGGUUCACAUAUUCAAGGUUCAUUUCGUAGCGAGGGGCCAUCUUGAAGUGGCCUUUACCAUAUAGGAUACUUGAUUUUGUCUUGAAGUGGGGUUUUUUUGGCUUCUUAGAGUCGAAAAUAUUUGAUAAUAGUUGUGUUUGAAGUCGUUUGACAUCCAACGGAGGAAAAGUGAACACUGGCAAUAAUGGAGUGAGUUGAUCAUGAUGAGUGUACUUCUAGAUGCUGACCAGAGAAGAAGCCGCCUGGGGCACUCCUCCUUACCAGUUUAUCUCAAACCAGACAGAUUCAUUCGUUCCCAUGAUAAUUUCUGGAGGUUCUGAAAUUUGUACGUACAGCUCUGCUCCGCUGAAUUGCUUGUAAGAAUGACUACCAGAUAUCAAUGUCACCUUAGGAUAGUUGACAUGUAUAUCCUGGUCUUCUGUUAAUUCAGAUAAAUGGAGGACAUCUUCUGCUAGCACUUGUAAGCAUAUAAUAAUCAGAAUCUCCUUAUUUCAGACAAGCUAAUAAAAGCC